AAAAAUUGGGUGAGAUGUGGUCUG
RNAcentral lists this non-coding RNA (24 nucleotides) under Cricetulus griseus (Chinese hamster). Lineage: Eukaryota; Metazoa; Chordata; Mammalia; Rodentia; Cricetidae. The record is from RNAcentral.